This 253-nucleotide ribosomal RNA is filed under the name uncultured bacterium. RNAcentral describes it as "partial 16S ribosomal RNA". It matches the Rfam family "Bacterial small subunit ribosomal RNA", at positions 524 to 776 of the family's 1533-position model. The record is from RNAcentral.
UACGGGGGGGGCAAGCGUUGUUCGGAAUUACUGGGCGUAAAGCGCACGUAGGCGGAUAUUUAAGUCAGGGGUGAAAUCCCAGAGCUCAACUCUGGAACUGCCUUUGAUACUGGGUAUCUUGAGUAUGGAAGAGGUAAGUGGAAUUGCGAGUGUAGAGGUGAAAUUCGUAGAUAUUCGCAGGAACACCAGUGGCGAAGGCGGCUUACUGGUCCAUAACUGACGCUGAGGUGCGAAAGCGUGGGGAGCAAACAGG